AACGAACGCUGGCGGCAUGCCUAACACAUGCAAGUCGAACGAGACCUUCGGGUCUAGUGGCGCACGGGUGCGUAACGCGUGGGAACCUGCCCUUAGGUUCGGAAUAACUCCCCGAAAGGGGUGCUAAUACCGGAUAAUGUCUUCGGACCAAAGAUUUAUCGCCUUUGGAUGGACCCGCGUUGGAUUAGCUAGUUGGUAGGGUAAAAGCCUACCAAGGCGACGAUCCAUAGCUGGUCUGAGAGGAUGAUCAGCCACACUGGGACUGAGACACGGCCCAGACUCCUACGGGAGGCAGCAGUGGGGAAUAUUGGACAAUGGGCGAAAGCCUGAUCCAGCAAUGCCGCGUGAGUGAUGAAGGCCUUAGGGUUGUAAAGCUCUUUUACCCGGGAUGAUAAUGACAGUACCGGGAGAAUAAGCGCCGGCUAACUCCGUG
RNAcentral lists this ribosomal RNA (433 nucleotides) under uncultured bacterium. Its description in RNAcentral is "partial 16S ribosomal RNA". It matches the Rfam family "Bacterial small subunit ribosomal RNA", at positions 29 to 507 of the family's 1533-position model. The record is from RNAcentral.